Molecule: ribosomal RNA, 449 nt
Filed under: uncultured Microbacterium sp.
Lineage: Bacteria; Bacillati; Actinomycetota; Actinomycetes; Micrococcales; Microbacteriaceae
Description: bacterial SSU rRNA
Rfam family: Bacterial small subunit ribosomal RNA
Source: RNAcentral
CGGCGGAGCAUGCGGAUUAAUUCGAUGCAACGCGAAGAACUUACCAAGGCUUGACAUAUACGAGGAAACGUCUGGAAACAGUCGCCCCGCAAGGUCUCUAUACAGGUGGUGCAUGGUUGUCGUCAGCUCGUGUCGUGAGAUGUUGGGUUAAGUCCCGCAACGAGCGCAACCUCGUCUAUGUUGCCAGCACGUAAUGGUGGGAACUCAUGGGAUACUGCCGGGGUCAACUCGGAGGAAGGUGGGGAUGACGUCAAAUCAUCAUGCCCCUUAUGUCUUGGGCUUCACGCAUGCUACAAUGGCCGGUACAAAGGGCUGCAAUACCGUAAGGUGGAGCGAAUCCCAAAAAGCCGGUCCCAGUUCGGAUUGAGGUCUGCAACUCGACCUCAUGAAGUCGGAGUCGCUAGUAAUCGCAGAUCAGCAACGCUGCGGUGAAUACGUUCCCGGGUCUU